GAAAUGCGAUAACUAGUGUGAAUUGCAGAAUUCCGUGAAUCGUCGAGUCUUUGAACGCACAUUGCGCCCCCUGGUAUUCCGGGGGGCAUGCCUGUCCGAGCGUCAUUGCUGCCCAUCAAGCACGGCUUGUGUGUUGGGUCGUCGUCCCCUCUCCGGGGGGGACGGGCCCCAAAGGCAGCGGCGGCACCGCGUCCGAUCCUCGAGCGUAUGGGGCUUUGUCACCCGCUCUGUAGGCCCGGCCGGCGCUUGCCGAACGCAAAUCAAUCUUUUUCCAGGUUGACCUCGGAUCAGGUAGGGAUACCCGCUGAACUUAAGC
RNAcentral lists this unclassified non-coding RNA (316 nucleotides) under plant metagenome. RNAcentral describes it as "partial contains 5.8S ribosomal RNA, internal transcribed spacer 2, and large subunit ribosomal RNA". The stretch from base 1 to 105 matches the Rfam family "5.8S ribosomal RNA", at positions 50 to 154 of the family's 154-position model. The record is from RNAcentral.